RNAcentral lists this ribosomal RNA (497 nucleotides) under uncultured bacterium. RNAcentral's name for it is "partial 16S ribosomal RNA". It matches the Rfam family "Bacterial small subunit ribosomal RNA", at positions 28 to 507 of the family's 1533-position model. The record is from RNAcentral.
GACGAACGCUGGCGGCGUGCCUAAUACAUGCAAGUUGAGCGCUGAAGGUUGGUACUUGUACCAACUGGACGAGCAGCGAACGGGUGAGUAACGCGUGGGGAAUCUGCCUUUGAGCGGGGGACAACAUUUGGAAACGAAUGCUAAUACCGCAUAAAAACUUUAAACACAAGUUUUAGGUUUGAAAGAUGCAAUUGCAUCACUCAAAGAUGAUCCCGCGUUGUAUUAGCUAGUUGGUGAGGUAAAGGCUCACCAAGGCGAUGAUACAUAGCCGACCUGAGAGGGUGAUCGGCCACAUUGGGACUGAGACACGGCCCAAACUCCUACGGGAGGCAGCAGUAGGGAAUCUUCGGCAAUGGACGAAAGUCUGACCGAGCAACGCCGCGUGAGUGAAGAAGGUUUUCGGAUCGUAAAACUCUGUUGGUAGAGAAGAACGUUGGUGAGAGUGGAAAGCUCAUCAAGUGACGGUAACUACCCAGAAAGGGACGGCUAACUACGUG